Molecule: long non-coding RNA, 5331 nt
Filed under: Volvox carteri
Lineage: Eukaryota; Viridiplantae; Chlorophyta; Chlorophyceae; Chlamydomonadales; Volvocaceae
Description: long non-coding RNA (VCAR_LNC003532)
Source: RNAcentral
AGGUACGCUGAUAAAAUAAAUGGUGUCGAAAUAAAACGGACCUUAGCAGCGGCCUUCUUGCCGGUCGCCUUGCAUGCGACCUGCAGAGCCUUGCGCGAGGUGGCGAGAGCGAAAGCCAUUUUAGAUGUUCGUAAGGUGAUCAGACUCUGCUGCACAAAGGAGAGAACUGAUACCGGAAACACAGGCAACCAGCGCUUUUGUUUUGCAAGCAAAUCUUGAUGCCGUACGCACGCCGUAUCCCUGUCCUGUCCGUGGGACAGGGCGCUUACCUAACAGAGAUCGCAGGAUACAGACAUGGCACACCUGCAACACAUGCGCUUAACAGCUAUCUGCACCUGCACAGAUUGGCAUGAACGAUUUGCUACACCUGCUUGCAAGUUUCAUACAAGUUUCUGAUGCAAGGAUAACUCAGUGGCGACUGUAUAAAUGCUGUGACGUGCACGCUGAACAUGGAUUUUGAUACGCACUGCAAAGCAUUCUUUAGGCGCCAAAAGUGGUCUCUCCAUGUUUGACCCUAGCUGUUCGGCCUUUACUCAUUACCAGUACCGUAGGACGGGAGGACAGUAGCUGUUGUCCUUGCUAGGAAGCAAGCUGAUAUAAUGGGUCACGCUGCUUAGGACGGCAAAGGGCAUUCCAUCCCGGACAGGGCCGGUGAACACAAGGUCCAAGCUCUGCUGGACCGCAAAAGGGCGACAGCGCCGAACCGGAGGCCGUUUAGGACCGAAGGAAGGCAACAAGCACGUCCGUAGCAACCUGUCGUAGCAACACAUCCGAUCAAGGGAGGACGGGCGGCCUCAACCAAACGCAUGAGCUCUUCGCAACUUACAAUCGGCCACGGGCUUCCAAACGUCGGAGCCUAAGGCUGGCACCUGGGAAAAGCUCCUACUUUGCCCAUGGCUUGCCUUUGACCUCUGAAGUACUGAACGGAACGCCAGCACGCCCUCUGUUUGUUACCUCUUUUGCCAGGGGUUUCACAACGCACGCUACAUGUUCAGCACUCCACGCAUGCUUAGCUUCAGGCUAUCCAUUAAACCGUGGUGAAAGGAACAAAGACGAACCUCUUGUGACCAGCAGUUUUAUGCAUAAAAUCGCGGGGCAGUAUCAGAUAGACAAGGGACAGCGGGUAGCCUAUUUGUGUGUGUCGUCCUGCCUUUCUGGGGGAGUACUGGAACCAUGGCACUGGCAUACGGUGUUCGGUUCUUAAGCUACGGGAGCAGGUGGUCAAACCAUUGGCGAUGCUGCAUGCUCUGGCCUUGCGGAUGCGAAACUGAUCGAAAGGGGCCUGCCAGCCAGGGUGAUACUGAAAGCAGUAGCCAGCAUGCAGCGGCGUCCAUCUGGUUGCCGAGCUUUUAAGACUCCAUAUCAUUGCACGUCCCAUGGUUCUACACCGGACUGUAAUCCAGGUAACGGCAUCACUCAUUACAAGGCUCCAGUCCGACUUCGUGCCUUUUUCCUUCGACUUAAGUGUGGCGUGUGCGUGUGUAUGUGAGUGUGUAUAUGUGCGUGUGUGUGUAUGCGUGUGUGUGUGUGCGUGUGUGUGUGUGUGUGCGUGUGCGUGUGCGUGUGUGUGUGUGUGUGCGUGUGUGUGUGUGUGUGUGUGCAUGUGUGUGCGCGUGUGUGCAUGUGUGUGCGCGUGUGUGCAUGUGUGUGGGUGUGGGUGUGCGUCUGUGUGUUUCUGCAUGACAAGAAAAAGAAAGAGAGUGAGUGUGUGGUUUGUGUUUGUGAGUUUGUGUGUGUUUGUGUUUGUAAGUAUGUGUGUGUUGGGGUGUGUGUGUGUGAUUUUUUGUUAUGCAUAUCGACAGGUUUUUCGUGGUGCUGAUGCUGUGCUAUCCGAAACGGGACACAUAAGCCCGAGGCGAGCGCCACAAUAAGCCUUCUUGGUGCAACGGGGUACCUUCCAGUGGCAACGUAGUUCCUGGCUGUGAGGAAGGUAGCGAGCCUGGUUCGCGGAGGCCGAGGCCGCUGUACGCAAGAGGGAUUGGCGAUGACCUAUGCCGCGCCAGUGAUGAUGUCGGCGGGGAGUGACCUACCAACGUGGUUUGCUGAAGUUUAACUCUUGCACUGUACGACAACCGAGGCCAUCAACCCGCGAUUAAGCGCCUAGCUCACUUCGCUAACACAGGAUAGCCACGAUAACCCUUGGCUUCGUUGCGUAAUAGAGCGUGGCCAUAUGCACCUCGAAUCAUCCCUCUGAAUGACAUGUUCCUUUAGCUCGUGUCUCGCGCGUGUUCUCCAUGUGUGCCUGUUUGCGUGGCCGCCUUUGCAGUACGCGCCCACCAAAAUGGCUGUAUGUGCUCCCGCCCCAAGAAGCGGUGAAACAAGCACUGGAACCGAGACCUUCCUUAUGUCAUGAACACCGAAAUGUUACAGGAGCUUGCUUGGCGCAACGCACCCAGCACGUGCAUGCGCUUUGUAUGAAGCUCUUGAUAUCUCACGUCUCACCGCCCAAUACCCCACCCAAAAGUAAGAGCUCCACCUCAACACCCGUGCUGUGGGAAACCCCUACUAGGAAACACCCACAUCAAAACUUCAGGCCCGUAACAGGACCGCUUCCGCCGCUGCUCACCACUCACCACGCGGGAACUCAUCGCAGGAACACGACAUCAAAAACAGAGGUGGCCACAGUGCGACAACGAGGUUCGAUGGAAUAACUGACAAGCACCCACGCAUCACUCAACAGUUUUGGCAAGCUGCGCNNNNNNNNNNNNNNNNNNNNNNNNNNNNNNNNNNNNNNNNNNNNNNNNNNNNNNNNNNNNNNNNNNNNNNNNNNNNNNNNNNNNNNNNNNNUUCAUACAGUUUCUGAUGCAAGGAUAACUCAGUGGCGACUGUAUAAAUGCUGUGACGUGCACGCUGAACAUGGAUUUUGAUACGCACUGCAAAGCAUUCUUUAGGCGCCAAAAGUGGUCUCUCCAUGUUUGACCCUAGCUGUUCGGCCUUUACUCAUUACCAGUACCGUAGGACGGGAGGACAGUAGCUGUUGUCCUUGCUAGGAAGCAAGCUGAUAUAAUGGGUCACGCUGCUUAGGACGGCAAAGGGCAUUCCAUCCCGGACAGGGCCGGUGAACACAAGGUCCAAGCUCUGCUGGACCGCAAAAGGGCGACAGCGCCGAACCGGAGGCCGUUUAGGACCGAAGGAAGGCAACAAGCACGUCCGUAGCAACCUGUCGUAGCAACACAUCCGAUCAAGGGAGGACGGGCGGCCUCAACCAAACGCAUGAGCUCUUCGCAACUUACAAUCGGCCACGGGCUUCCAAACGUCGGAGCCUAAGGCUGGCACCUGGGAAAAGCUCCUACUUUGCCCAUGGCUUGCCUUUGACCUCUGAAGUACUGAACAGAACGCCAGCACGCCCUCUGUUUGUUACCUCUUUUGCCAGGGGUUUCACCACGCACGCUACAUGUUCAGCACUCCACGCAUGCUUAGCUUCAUGCUAUCAAUUAAACCGUGGUGAAAGGAACAAAGACGAACUUCUUGUGACCAGCAGUUUUAUGCAUAAAAUCGCGGGGCAGUAUCAGAUAGACAAGGGACAGCGGGUAGCCUAUUUGUGUGUGUCGUCCUGCCUCUCUGGGGGAGUACUGGAACCAUGGCACUGGCAUACGGUAUUCGGUUCUUAAGCUACGGGAGCAGGUGGUCAAACCAUUGGCGAUGCUGCAUGCUCUGGCCUUGCGGAUGCGAAACUGAUCGAAAGGGGCCUGCCAGCCAGGGUGAUACUGAAAGCAGUAGCCAGCAUGCAGCGGCGUCCAUCUGGUUGACGAGCUUUUAAGACUCCAUAUCAUUGCACGUCCCAUGGUUCUACACCGGACUGUAAUCCAGGUAACGGCAUCACUCAUUACAAGGCUCCAGUCCGACUUCGUGCCUUUUUCCUUCGACUUAAGUGUGGCGUGUGUGUGUGCCUGUGUGUGUGCCUGUGUGUGUGUGCCUGUGUGUGUGUGUGUGUGUGUGUUCUGCAUGACAAGAAAAAGAAAAAGAGUGAGUGUGUGGCUUGUGUUUGUGAGUUUGUGUGAGCUUGUGUGUGUUUGUAUGUGUUUGUGUUUGUGAGGAUGUGUGUGUUUGUGAUUUUGUGUUAUGCAUAUCGACAGGUUUUUCGUGGUGCUGAUGCUGUGCUAUCCGAAACGGAACACAUAAGCCCGAGGCGAGCGCCACAAUAAGCCUUCUUGGUGCAUCGGUGCAUAAGCCACAAUAAGCCUUCUUGGUGCAUCGGGGUACCUUCCAGUGGCAACGUAGUUCCUGGCUGUGAGGAAGGUAGCGAGCCUGGUUCGCGGAGGCCGAGGCCGCUGUACGCUUGAUGUUCCUUUAGCUCGUGUCUCGCGCGUGUUCUCCAUGUGUGCCUGUUUGCGUGGCCGCCUUUGCAGUACGUACCCACCAAAAUGGCUGUAUGUGCUCCAGACCCAAGAAGCGGUGAAACAAGCACUGGAACCGAGACCUUCCUUAUGUCAUGAACACCGAAAUGUUACAGGAGCUUGCUUGGCGCAACGCAUCCAGCAUGUGCAUGCGCUUUGUAUGAAGCUCUUGAUAUCUCACGUCUCGCCGCCCAAUACCCCACCCAAAAGUAAGAGCUCCACCUCAACACCCGUGCUGUGGGAAACCCCUACUAGGAAACACCCACAUCAAAACUUCAGGCCCGUAACAGGACCGCUUCCGCCGCUGCUCACCACUCACCACGCGGGAACUCAUCGCAGGAACACGACAUCAAAAACAGAGGUGGCCACAGUGCGACAACGAGGUUCGAUGGACAUAACUGACAAGCACCCACGCAUCACUCAACAGUUUUGGCAAGCUGCGCAUCCAAGCGUAUUUACCCAACAGCGACGGAUAGGCAACUACUGCCUGCAAUUGCUAUGCAUGUGACGUCUCGUAUACCGGUAUUGGCAGUUUAUUGGUUAUGCUGUGUCUACGUUCACAUAGCUAAACAACGUAACGUAGCUGAAGGCAGCAGCGGCCGGCAGAUGCGGACAACCGCUUCGACUAGCAAACGUAGCAGCGAUACAUUACGCGCUGGGCGUGAACUUGGUGGCGAAGGCGAAGGCGUUGUUGACGGCCGGGUUGGCCAGAUGGUCGUUCAGGUUCUCAAUGGGCCCCUUGCCGGUCACAAUGGCCUGCACGAAGAAGCCGAACAUGGAGAACAUGGCCAGGCGGCCGUUCUUGAUCUCCUUGACCUGAGCNNNNNNNNNNNNNNNNNNNNNNNNNNNNNNNNNNNNNNNNNNNNNNNNNNAAAGCAUUUAGAUGUUCGUAAGGUGAUCAGACUCUGCUGCACAAAGGAGAGAACUGAUACCGGAAACACAGGCAACCAGCGCUUUUGUUUUGCAAGCAAAUCUUGAUGCCGUACGCACGCCG